Molecule: ribosomal RNA, 1500 nt
Filed under: uncultured bacterium
Lineage: Bacteria
Description: bacterial SSU rRNA
Rfam family: Bacterial small subunit ribosomal RNA
Source: RNAcentral
AGAGUUUGAUCCUGGCUCAGAUUGAACGCUGGCGGUAUGCUUAACACAUGCAAGUCGAACGGAAACGAAACUAGCUUGCUAGUAGGCGUCGAGUGGCGGACGGGUGAGUAACGCGUAGGAAUCUGCCUGAUAGUGGGGGAUAGCCCGAAGAAAUUCGGAUUAAUACCGCAUAAUCUAUUCGUAGUAAAGUGGGGGACUUUCGAGCCUCACGCUAUCAGAUGAGCCUGCGUAAGAUUAGCUUGUUGGUAGGGUAAAAGCCUACCAAGGCAACGAUCUUUAGCUGGUCUGAGAGGAUGAUCAGCCACAUCGGGACUGAGACACGGCCCGAACUCCUACGGGAGGCAGCAGUGGGGAAUAUUGGACAAUGGGGGCAACCCUGAUCCAGCAAUACCGCGUGUGUGAAGAAGGCCUGAGGGUUGUAAAGCACUUUCAAUUGUGAAGAAAAGUUAACGGUUAAUAACCGUUGACCUUGACGUUAACUUUAGAAGAAGCACCGGCUAACUCCGUGCCAGCAGCCGCGGUAAUACGGAGGGUGCAAGCGUUAAUCGGAAUUACUGGGCGUAAAGCGUGCGUAGGCGGUUUAUUAAGUCAGAUGUGAAAGCCCCGGGCUUAACCUGGGAACUGCAUUUGAAACUGGUCAACUAGAGUAUGGUAGAGGAAAGUGGAAUUUCUGGUGUAGCGGUGAAUGCGUAGAUAUCAGAAGGAACAUCAAUGGCGAAGGCAGCUUUCUGGACCAAUACUGACGCUGAGGUACGAAAGCGUGGGUAGCAAACAGGAUUAGAUACCCUGGUAGUCCACGCCGUAAACGAUGAUAACUAGCCGUUGGGGGGAUUUACCCCUUAGUGGCGAAGCUAACGCGUUAAGUUAUCCGCCUGGGGAGUACGGCCGCAAGGCUAAAACUCAAAGGAAUUGACGGGGACCCGCACAAGCGGUGGAGCAUGUGGUUUAAUUCGAUGCAACGCGAAGAACCUUACCUGGUCUUGACAUCCUGCGAACUUUCUAGAAAUAGAUUGGUGCCUUCGGGAACGCAGUGACAGGUGCUGCAUGGCUGUCGUCAGCUCGUGUCGUGAGAUGUUGGGUUAAGUCCCGUAACGAGCGCAACCCCUAUCCUUAUUUGCCAGCACAUUAUGGUGGGAACUAUAAGGAGACUGCCGGUGAUAAACCGGAGGAAGGCGGGGACGACGUCAAGUCAUCAUGGCCCUUACGACCAGGGCUACACACGUGCUACAAUGGGAAGGACAAAGAGCCGCGAAGCCGCGAGGUGUAGCUAAUCUCAUAAAUCUUUUCGUAGUCCGGAUUGGAGUCUGCAACUCGACUCCAUGAAGUCGGAAUCGCUAGUAAUCGUAGAUCAGAAUGCUACGGUGAAUACGUUCCCGGGUCUUGUACACACCGCCCGUCAUACCAUGGGAGUGGGUUGCACCAGAAGUGGCUAGUCUAACUUUGUGAGGACGGUCACCACGGUGUGAUUCAUGACUGGGGUAAAGUCGUAACAAGGUAACC